UAUCGCCGAAAGAUCGGCCCGCGUCUGAUUAGCUAGUUGGUGAGGUAAAGGCUCACCAAGGCUACGAUCAGUAGCUGGUCUGAGAGGAUGAUCAGCCACACUGGGACUGAGACACGGCCCAGACUCCUACGGGAGGCAGCAGUAGGGAAUCUUCCACAAUGGACGAAAGUCUGAUGGAGCAACGCCGCGUGAGUGAUGAAGGUUUUCGGAUCGUAAAACUCUGUUGUAAGGGAAGAACAAGCGUGAGAGGGAAUGCUCACGCCUUGACGGUACCUUGCGAGAAAGCCACGGCUAACUACGUGCCAGCAGCCGCGGUAAUACGUAGGUGGCAAGCGUUGUCCGGAAUUAUUGGGCGUAAAGCGCGCGCAGGCGGCCUCUUAAGUCUGAUGUGAAAGCCCCCGGCUCAACCGGGGAGGGCCAUUGGAAACUGGGAGGCUUGAGUACAGAAGAGAAGAGUGGAAUUCC
This 465-nucleotide ribosomal RNA is filed under the name Maribellus luteus. RNAcentral's name for it is "bacterial SSU rRNA". It matches the Rfam family "Bacterial small subunit ribosomal RNA", at positions 213 to 670 of the family's 1533-position model. Lineage: Bacteria; Pseudomonadati; Bacteroidota; Bacteroidia; Marinilabiliales; Prolixibacteraceae. The record is from RNAcentral.